UGGGGAAUAUUGGACAAUGGGCGCAAGCCUGAUCCAGCCAUGCCGCGUGAACGAUGAAGGCCUUAGGGUUGUAAAGUCUUUUGUCAGGGAAGAUAAUGACGGUACCUGAAGAAUAAGCACCGGCUAACUUCGUGCCAGCAGCCGCGGUAAUACGAAGGGUGCUAGCGUUGUUCGGAAUCACUGGGCGUAAAACGCGCGUAGGCGGCUUAACAAGUCAGAGGUGAAAGCCUGGAGCUCAACUCCAGAACUGCCUUUGAAACUGUUAAGCUUGAGUGUCGGAGGGGAUAGCGGAAUUUCUAAUGUAGAGGUGAAAUUCGUAGAUAUUAGGAAGAACACCGGUGGCGAAGGCGGCUCACUGGUCCGGUACUGACACUGAGGUGCGAAAGCGUGGGGAGCAAACAGGAUUAGAUACCCUUGUAGUCCCUGAGCGGGCUGGCAAGGCG
This 443-nucleotide ribosomal RNA is filed under the name uncultured bacterium. RNAcentral's name for it is "bacterial SSU rRNA". It matches the Rfam family "Bacterial small subunit ribosomal RNA", at positions 355 to 822 of the family's 1533-position model. The record is from RNAcentral.